UCGCGUCGAUAUGUUUAUCAAAUAAAUACAUCAAACCUUUCGUUACAAUAACGACACAACUUUGUACACCCAGCACUUGAAACAAACCAAAAAGCAUAUGCUUGAGUGUCCAAAUUGGAAUACAAACUGUAUGUUAGCGUUUAGCAAGAUAAUUUCACUUACCAAGCAAUAAAAUGAAAAAUAAAGCAGCCGAAAUACUGCAUGUGGAACAGAUGAGUGCCUUAUUUAAGUUUAGUCUACCAUCCUUG
RNAcentral lists this long non-coding RNA (248 nucleotides) under Schizosaccharomyces pombe (fission yeast). The record is from RNAcentral. Lineage: Eukaryota; Fungi; Ascomycota; Schizosaccharomycetes; Schizosaccharomycetales; Schizosaccharomycetaceae.